This 21-nucleotide non-coding RNA is filed under the name Caenorhabditis elegans. Lineage: Eukaryota; Metazoa; Nematoda; Chromadorea; Rhabditida; Rhabditidae. The record is from RNAcentral.
UCAACAUUUCUGUUCAAUUAA